Molecule: ribosomal RNA, 465 nt
Filed under: uncultured bacterium
Lineage: Bacteria
Description: partial 16S ribosomal RNA
Rfam family: Bacterial small subunit ribosomal RNA
Source: RNAcentral
CCUACGGGGGGCAGCAGUGGGGAAUUUUGCGCAAUGCUCGUAAGAGUGACGCAGCGACGCCGCGUGAAUGACGAAGGCCCUCGGGUUGGAAAGUUCCUUCGACAGGGAAGAAAAUGCCUAUAAGUAACUGUGUAUGUAUUGACGGUACCUGUAUAAGCAGCCCCGGCUCACUCCGUGCCAGCAGCCGCGGGAAUACGGAGGGGGCGAGCGUUGUUCGGAGUGACUGGGCGUAAAGAGCACGUAGGCGGUGUUGUAAGUCAUUAGUCAAAGGCUGGAGCUCAACUUUAGUAAGGCUAGUGAUACUAGAAUACUAAAGUAUCAGGGAGGAAUGCAGAAUUCGUGGUGUAGCGGUGAAAUGCGUAGAUAUCAGGAGGAAUACCGGUAGCGAAGGCGGCUAUCUGGCUGGAAACUGACGCUGAGGUGCGAAAGCGUGGGUAGCAAACAGGAUUAGAUACCCGAGUAGUC